UACGUAGGGGGCAAGCGUUGUCCGGAAUCAUUGGGCGUAAAGCGCGUGUAGGCGGUUCGAUAAGUCUGCUGUGAAAGUCCAGGGCUCAACCCUGGGAUGCCGGUGGAUACUGUCGUGCUAGAGUGCGGAAGGGGCUACUGGAAUUCUCGGUGUAGCGGUGAAAUGCGUAGAUAUCGAGAGGAACACCUGCGGCGAAGGCGGGUAGCUGGGCCGACACUGACGCUGAGGCGCGAAAGCCAGGGGAGCGAACGGG
This 253-nucleotide ribosomal RNA is filed under the name uncultured bacterium. RNAcentral's name for it is "partial 16S ribosomal RNA". It matches the Rfam family "Bacterial small subunit ribosomal RNA", at positions 524 to 776 of the family's 1533-position model. The record is from RNAcentral.